Molecule: ribosomal RNA, 513 nt
Filed under: uncultured bacterium
Lineage: Bacteria
Description: partial 16S ribosomal RNA
Rfam family: Bacterial small subunit ribosomal RNA
Source: RNAcentral
GACGAACGCUGGCGGCAUGCCUAAUACAUGCAAGUCGAGCGAACAGAUGAAGUGCUUGCACUUCUGACGUUAGCGGCGAACGGGUGAGUAACACGUAAGGAAUCUACCUAUAAGCGGGGGAUAACAUUCGGAAACGGGUGCUAAUACCGCAUAAUAUCUUCUUCCGCAUGGAAGAAGAUUGAAAGACGGCUCUGCUGUCACUUAUAGAUGACCUUGCGGUGCAUUAGUUAGUUGGUGGGGUAAUGGCCUACCAAGACGAUGAUGCAUAGCCGACCUGGAAGGGAGAUCGGACACAUUGGGACUGAGACACGGCCCAAACUCCUACGGGAGGCAGCAGUAGGGAAUCUUCCGCAAUGGGCGAAAGACUGACGGAGCAAUGCCGCGUGAGUGAAGAAGGCCUUCGGGUCGUAAAACUCUGUUAUAAGAGAAGAACAAAUUGUAGAGUAACUGCUACAGUCUUGACGGUAUCUUAUCAGAAAGCCACGGCUAACUACGUGCCAGCAGCUGCCGUAA